This is a long non-coding RNA of Solenopsis invicta (red fire ant), 1764 nucleotides long. RefSeq lists it as uncharacterized. The record is from RefSeq and is a predicted model, not a curated record. NCBI's taxonomy places the organism in Eukaryota, Metazoa, Arthropoda, Insecta, Hymenoptera, Formicidae. The transcript has 2 exons.
UCCAUUUCGCAGCGUCCUGUAUGUAUAUAUACCGCGUGCACGACGCGAACGUCGCGGAGUCACACUCCCUUCUUCGCGCAUGACGCGUAAAAAGGGUACAUCUCAUCAUUUAUAUUCAAGAAACUUACCGUUUACGGAGCAUAUAGACGGGCAGCGAUUUUCUUCGCUGAUGAUUUUCGCGGAACACGACGGCGCUGGGCCGCUUCAUAGCUAAUUUGGACGACUUCCCCAUUGCGCUGUAUUUGGGAUCCGCGUCGUCGUGGACCCUCAUCUCGCCGCGAACCACUCGGAAUGCCGGACGAUGCACGUACACGCGUAUGUACCACUUGCAGCUUACAGCACGACCAAGCACGUCAAGCACGUCAAGCACGUGUUGCGCGUUACAGCUGUUCCGUACUCACUGUCCGCAUGUCCUACUCCUAUUGGCGUCUCGGCGCGCGCAUCCGGAAUCCGGAACACCACUGUGCCAAGUAUCGAGUUAGAAAUUUUUACAUACGUCGAACGCUUGUGUGCUACGCAGAUAAAGAAUACUUGGCGUUACGCAUUUCCGGAAAAGAAAGUACCGCUUUUCUGUGUAUAAAAAUCUAUAUUUUUUAGAAUAGUAAAUAUAAUUUUUUGUAAUGUUUAAGACAUUGAAUUUUUAAUUUAAUAUAAAAAAAAUGUUUUACAUAAUAUAUAAAUACAUAAUGUGUUUUAUGUUAAAUAUUUUAUAUAAAAUAUUUAUUAAUUUUUAUAUUAAAAAAAAAAUUAAAGUAUAUACUUCAUAUUUUACAAAUCUAGUUUUCAGAAAGGAUUUUUCAGGCUCUAUAAAAUUUCGUGAUUAUUAUUUUCAUUUUUUUACAAAACUUAUACGUAUAUAUAAUUAUCCAAAAUUAUAUGAAGCUUAAUUUUAUUUAAAAUUGGAUUAAAAAAUUACCUGUUUUUCAUACAAAUAUAUAUAAAUUUGUAUCUUUCGCUUUUUUCUUUAUUAAUUAUAUUGAUGUAUUCAUCAUGCUUACGAUUAAGAAAUUUCAAAGAAUGUAAAUGAACUUCUCAAUCAGUAAUUUUAUGAUUAUAUAUUUUUCCAUUGUUAUCAACGCACUGGUAUUUGAUUCAUGAUUGGUAAUAUUUCGAACAUUUUUCAUCAUGAAAAACAGAGGUAUGAGUUAAAAAAAACCAGAGUCCGCGAAUUAUCAGUCCUCUGUGACUAAUGAUACUAAAUUUAAUGCCAACAUCGACGUGCACACCAGCUUUUAUCAUGUGUCAUGAGUAAUGUAUUCCGACAUCGUAUUCCGUCGAAAUUAACUGGUCACAAAGAAAAGAGAAAGAGUUGAAAAAAACUUUAAAAACAUUGCAAAUAUUAAAACAUAAAAAAGAUUAAAAAGUGAAAUGAUAAACAAUUUUUUUUUAUACAAUCAUUUCAUUGAAAUUAUUAAAAAGAACAAUGGUCAGAGAUCAAACAUUUAUUAUAAUAUUACAUCAAUAUAUAAUAUAUCAAUUUAUAUAUUACACGUCAAGUAUCUUAUGAACAAGUAACUUCGCAACGCUUAUCUCUUUUUAGAGGUAGAGAUCAAUGAUUUACACUCCACAAUCAUCAUUGAUAAAAGAUAUAAUUGUGACAUCGCCAUAAAAAUUAAUAAAAGUUUCAAUAUAACACAUAUUAUGCAAUGUUGUAAUAUCGACAGCGAUCGAGUCUAUCAAAACACGGCCACGAUACAAUUAAAAAAGAUCUUGAAUAGAACUGCGUCACGAAAUUAUCACAGAUCAAGCUGUGUGUAAUAGGAA